AGGUCAAGAGGGAAUUCUGAGAUGUCUCAGAAGUAGGAAUGAUAGAACUACAAAUAAUUAAAGAUGGAUCAAAUGAUAGAUAAAUCUCUUCUUUCUCUAGAGCUUCUAAAGGGAGCUCCUUGGUAUAUCUACAUGUGAAUAAAAGGACUUCUGGUAAAUACGGAUCCAAAAAGAAGCCCCUUCAUUUGAUUAACUCUUCUGACAAACCUGGAUUAGAUCUUUUAAAAGUGGAGUAUAUUAAGGUAAGAGCCAUAGAAUGUUUAUGU
RNAcentral lists this long non-coding RNA (266 nucleotides) under Dasypus novemcinctus (nine-banded armadillo). Its description in RNAcentral is "lncRNA (ENSDNOG00000052686.1)". The record is from RNAcentral. Lineage: Eukaryota; Metazoa; Chordata; Mammalia; Cingulata; Dasypodidae.